Long non-coding RNA from Lepisosteus oculatus (spotted gar), 5496 nucleotides. The record is from Ensembl. Lineage: Eukaryota; Metazoa; Chordata; Actinopteri; Semionotiformes; Lepisosteidae.
UGUACCGACAGUUUUUUUUUUUAGUUUCCGACAUGGUUUCAGAGGAACCGCCCAAGAGCUCGAGUGCUGUAGUUUGGCUAUAAACAACACGUUGAGGAAAGGAGUUUUACAUUAAAUACAUUUAAUCUGAUCGGAGAACAUAAAAAAAAUCACUUUUGGAUAUUUUAUUUGGCCAAUUUCCUUGUUUUUAAACGAUUUCUUGACGCUCACAGUGUCAGUCGAUUUAGCGCACCGUUUAUUCGGUAUACAACCCGUGAAAAAUUAAACGAGUAAAACAAUAAAUGCUGAGAGUUGCAGUCUGCUCCUCGGCGACGGAGAUGACUUUUGACAGACAGAAUGCCCGCAUUUAAAUCCUGAAUUUCCGCGAUCAAGAGCGCACUUGAGUGUAUUUUAUGUUUAAAGGUUUAAUUUCCAGCGCUGUCAUUUUAUAUGGGUCCAUUAUUUAUCUUUAUGAAAACAUGUUAUGUUUAAAAGUGGAUGGAAUGGAAUAUAAAAAAAUGGAAACAUGAUUUUAGCAAGUUUAACAUGAAAAUCUACAAAACGUACUUUAUACUAUAGCACCAUACAACUUCAAAACCUCUUUAAAAAGAUGAUUAUCGGAAGGUACGCUUUGACAGUAUCUUGUAUCUUCCAGUUUCGUUUCCCACUUUAAUGGUCAGAAGGCGGUGCUAAAGUUAGUUGGGUUAGAUUUUUUUUCUUAUUAGUUAUCUAUAUUCUGUAGGAAACCGACGACCAUAUUUUAAUCUCGGGAAAACUGGAUUUAAAAUUUCCUCUCCCCUGGUAGACAAGCCUUAACGGAAUACAUUUUUAAAAUUUAUUUGGAACAUUCUGACAACAUUCAUGGAAAAUAACGACAAUCCCCAGGAAGCUGAUGCACAUUCCCCUUCAAGAAUGGAGGCACUGAUGAAAAAUUGUAAGCUUCAGAAAAAUAAAGAAGAAGUUAAGCAGAGACUUGUGCAAAGUGGAACGGAUUUCAUCUUGGUGUUCUGGAAAGUGCUGUCAGCCUUAGAGGAAAAUAUCCAAAGCAAUGCAGAUGUGUCUGUAGCGACUCUGAUGGCUUACAUGGCUGAGGUUCUUCACUGUAUAUUCUUCUUGGGGCACAUCCAUGAAAUGCCCAUUAAUCCCAAGACCUUCUUCCAGAACGACAGACUGUUUCAGAUAUUUAAGAGGCAGUUUCCAGAGCCUUUCGAGCACUACUCCACCCAUCUGCCAAAACGCACACCAUUCUCCAUCCUUCUUGAUAUGGUAUCAAAGGUGAAGGGUCACACAGAUCACAGAACUAUACUGAGCCAAGUGGAGGAGGUGAAGAAAAAAUUAACUGAGAAAAGCAAAGACAACCAAUUUGGAAAUAACUACAGCUUGACAGCCAGUGUCAUCUGCAUGUCCUACUUCUGCACACCAGAGAAAGGGUUUAAUUAUGGAGCGUCUCUUUCUUGCAGCGGUAAAGUAGAGACUAAGAUCAUGAUCGCACUCUCGUGCAUCAAAACGUGGAAUGAUGCAGUUGCACACGCCGUCUGUCACGCUAAGAAAGGGGGCUUCAUCAAAUUUCCUGACGGGGUGACAUGCCAGGCCUAUAUAUAUGAUCUAAAAUCAGGCUACAAUAUUGAGAAAGCCCCCUGCAAGAAGUGUCACGGGAUGUUCCGGAACGUGAACUUUCUGCCUCCACCAUCUGAAUGGCCAAAAGGGCAGGACUGGCAGUAUGGCAAUUGUGCUGAAACUGAAUCUCUCAGCCACCUCCUUAACACAGAGCAAAAUGUGAGGAAUGCAAUUAAGGCUUUUAAAACACACGAGGUAAUUAUAAACAGAGAAGAAAUCGUGCAGGAAGCAAAAAAGAACGUGACCCAGCUGCUGAAUUCGAGAAAGUUUAGAAUCCAAUUGGACGAUUUUAAAUUCUUUGCUGUGCAGAAUUGACUACAACACUUUCAGACCUAAAGCUCGUUUAAUAAACUUUUGUUGAACCAAACAAAGCUGGGAUUCUGCAGAGGCACCAUUACGGGACACUUUGGAAUUUCACUACAGGCCCUGCAUUCAGUAGUUCUGUCAAAUUCUAAUAACAACAUAUGGGGCCAAUGAAUAGAAAGGAUAGCAUGCUCGAUAGUCUGGUGUUAACUCUUCUGGCUAAAGAAAUGCAGCGCUGGCUUACGAACAUGUACGAGAAAUGAAUCAGGGAGCUCCUGCAAGGGUGAAGUUGAGGUGGAGGAGGAGCUAAAAAAGAUCAGAGUUGUGAUGGUACUGUAUGUACUAUAAUACAGUACGUAAGAGAGCAGAAGUGCAUUUAGCAUUAGACCAUCCCCCAAAGUUGUGUUAAAUAAUACAGCAUGUUACAAAAGAUAUAUUGGUGUGUUUGACUAAAUGCACUAGUAUGGUGUAUUUAGGUUUUUUACCUUUUUACUUUUGGAAGCAUGAUGUUAGAAAUAUUGGCUGCAUGCAGAAACCAAAAGAACUUGUUUUAAAAAAAGGAGCAGAAUAACCUUGAUUUUGUGGUGAGAAAAACUUUACUCACCAGCGGUUGGGACUGGAAAUCAGAUCCAAAUUCGUAUUUAUUCUGCACUAUAUUAACACUAUAUUUCCAUAGUGUUUACAUACAGUAUUUGCUUUACUUUGCAGGCUCUCUUAAAACCAAAUAUUUUAUAUCUAUUUAGAACUGUGUAACAUUUAGACUGCAAAAUAAAGCAUCUUUGUGUAAACAUUUUGAAAACCCACAAAAACAUAUCCUUUUGAAAUAGAAAAAUGUUAUUUUGAUUUGAUUGACAAAUCAGAAUAUUGCUGAAGACUCCAAAUCCCAUAAAAGUAAGAAGAAUGCUUUUACUAUUCUUUAUUUUGAACAUUUUUCUUUUUUUAAGGUUGUCCUUUCUAUACCAUAGAAGGUUUCUUUUCAUGUAUACUGUAUGUUUCACAUUUCACAUUUUUAAUGGCUGAUGUUAUGAAACAGUAACAGUCUUUCCUGAAAUAAAGAUAUUUAAUAUUCAUGGAUUUUCUUAUGUUUAUAUUGUGAAAACUGAUCAACUGGCAUUCAAUAAAGUAUUUUUUUAUCAAUUCCUGUCUUCCAACACCAGAUUGAAAUGACUUGCACCUUAUCCUGUAAUUGAGCCGCAUUCAUUUUUUAUAUUUUUGUUCCUAAACUGCACAAAUGUUUACUACUUAUUUCAGAGGAUAACCAGCUUCAUGCUGAAUAAUCAGUCAUGAGAUGGAAUCUUGCAGGUUUUGUUUGGAUCUUUGAAACAGCAGCAGGUUGUCCUGGAAAGUCAAGUAAAUGAAUGCAAGUGUUUAUUUUAAGAAGUGAAUAAAAACUCAAAGGCAGGAGUUACCUAGGUCUGUUUUAUUUAAAUGGCUACAAUUAACAACAGGUGUAGCACCUAGAACCUUUAACACUUUCAGUCUAAAUUGAAAAGCCUUGGGGCGAUAAUCGCUUCUGGCUUAAUAUUCGACCCACUUGUACAGUAUAUUGUCAAAACAUCUUUUUUUCACCUCAGAAACAUCGCUAGACUACGCCCUAUGUUAUCACUAACUGUGGCUGAAAAGCUGAUCAACACAUUUGUGUUUUCCCAAAUGGACUACUGUAAUGCUCUACUCGCUGGGGUAUCUAAAUCACCAUUGAACAAACUGCAGUAUUUUCAAAUUUGGGCAGCCAGAAUCCUGACCAGCUCUAGCGCAAGUGAUCACAUGACUCCUAUUCUGGAGUCCUUGCACUGGCUUCCUGUCACAUUCUGUGUAGACUUUAAAAUCCUCAUUCUCACCUAUAAGGCUCUUGGCUUGGCACCUCAGUACCUGUCUGAACUAUUAUCGCCCUACUCCCCACCUCGCAACCUUCACUCUUCAAAUUCUGGUCUCCUAACUGUCCCCCAAGUCCAUCUACAUUGUAUGGGUGACAGGGCCUUCUCCUGUUAUGCCCCCAAGCUCUGGAACUCUCUCCCCAAGGAUAUCAGAGAGUCACCUUCUUUAAACUCCUUCAGAUCCAGACUCAAAACCUUCUUCUUUAGAAGAGCCUUUACUUAACUGGUUCCGUUCUUUACCCCUCUACUCUGAGUAGUUUUUUCCGAGUCAUCUGCAGGACACAAUGUUACAAGUAAAUUAACAUUACUUCUAUAUAAGCUGCUGAAAACUCACAUUCUUUAACUGUCUCCUGCAGUAGCUCCACAGCGCUGGGAAUUGUUCGGACAAUUUUAGUUUUUCAGACAGCCGAGUAAAUAAACACGCUGUGUGUCUCCAUCCUCCUGAGAGUCACCCUUUUUACCACUGUAAACACAAGGACUGACACACAAAGGUAACCAAUGCGCAACUGAUAUUUACCUAGCGCUUAGUUUAGGACGAUCUAACACACUUAACACACUUUCUAGCCCCAGGACCAUCAUUAAGAACUACUCCAUUUUACAGGACGAUCCCUCCAUCUGUACCCUUUUUUCCGAGCGCCCAAUCAUCUCUUACCACUGACCAGCCAGUCUAUGUAAACGUCUGGUUCACAGCUCCCCUUGACCGCACUCGGCCAUCACCCCCACCAGGCACCCUCCCCUGCAACAGACUCACUGCAUCACCUGCAAAUACAUAUCUAACAACACGCUCAUUCAGGGCCCCGCAGGUCAAUUCCGGAUCAUCCAGACAACAUCCUGUAUCUCCAGCAAUCUCCUUUACUGUAUCUCUCGCAAAAAAACGCCCAGUUAUCUACGUUGGGGAAACCGGAAGGAGACUAGGAGACUGCUUCAGAGAAUAUGUUAGGACUGUGAGGAUUAAAGAUUUCUCCAAGCCCAUAGUUUCUCCUUUCACCUCAGACGGCCAUGAUCACACUGAUCUCUCUGUCUCCGUUCUCAAAGACGGGUUUCUCAACUCCCAUAGCUGAAAAAUGACUCAUCCUGAAACUAGGUUCACACCUUCUCCCUUCUCUCAAUGAAAGACUUAUUUUCGUGUAAUCUUCUCUAUUCUCAUGCUGGUUUCGACUUCACACCUUUCUCCACCCCUCUCCACUUCGUACUUCCUGAGUGGCCUCUCUGUCUCUCCCCUCUCCCACCACUUUUCCAGCUCUUGUUCUCCUGUGCUAUUUAAUCUCUGCCGUCUACCCUGUCUUUCUCACACCUGAAAAAGGACCCACGUUGUGUCUCCUUUCUUUUCUUUUCAGCAGGGAAUAAACCCACUACUUGUUCCUUUGCAGUUUAGUACGAUGCUGCGCACUAACCCCGGGGGUCAUCCCCAGUAACGCGUGCAACUGUCCUUCUACUGCAGAAAGCCCUCCGUGCCACAUCUAAACUUGCGUGUCAAACUCACAGAAUAUUCGCCGGUAACUAAGACGGCUGGCUAGCUCAGCCAGUCCGACAGUGACUCAGUUCUGUCUCGGCUGCUGGUGCAAUUGCCUAAUCAGAAGCUCACACCUGAAGAAGGCUCCACGGCCGAAACGUUGUGUUCUCUUUCUUCUUUUUUCAGCAUGGAAUAAACCUAUUACUUGUUCCUUUGCAGCCUACGCAUGCUGACGCAGCUACCCACCUGAACUACUACCGCCUACAGCUG